GGAGGGUGCAAGCGUUAUCCGGAUUCACUGGGUUUAAAGGGUGCGUAGGCGGAAUGGAAAGUCCGUUGUGAAAUCUCCGAGCUUAACUCGGAAAUUGCGGUGGAUACUAUCAUUCUUGAAUACUGUGGAGGUUAGCGGAAUAUGUCAUGUAGCGGUGAAAUGCAUAGAUAUGACAUAGAACACCAAUUGCGAAGGCAGCUGGCUACACAGAUAUUGACGCUGAGGCACGAAAGCGUGGGGAUCAAACAGGAUUAGAUACCCUGGUAGUCCACGCCCUAAACGAUGAUUACUCGACAUUUGCGAUACACAGCAAGUGUCUGAGCGAAAGCAUUAAGUAAUCCACCUGGGAAGUACGACCGCAAGGUUG
Molecule: ribosomal RNA, 367 nt
Filed under: uncultured bacterium
Lineage: Bacteria
Description: bacterial SSU rRNA
Rfam family: Bacterial small subunit ribosomal RNA
Source: RNAcentral